This 719-nucleotide ribosomal RNA is filed under the name Nostoc insulare SAG 54.79. RNAcentral describes it as "bacterial LSU rRNA". It matches the Rfam family "Bacterial large subunit ribosomal RNA", at positions 919 to 1705 of the family's 2925-position model. Lineage: Bacteria; Bacillati; Cyanobacteriota; Cyanophyceae; Nostocales; Nostocaceae. The record is from RNAcentral.
UGCGGGCUGGGAGACCGGUACCAAAUCGAGACAAACUCAGAAUACCCAGAGCACACAUUGCCAGUGAGACAGUGGGGGAUAAGCUUCAUUGUCAAGAGGGAAACAGCCCAGACCACCAGCUAAGGUCCCCAAAUCAUCGCUAAGUGAUAAAGGAGGUGAGAGUGCACAGACAACUAGGAGGUUUGCCUAGAAGCAGCCACCCUUGAAAGAGUGCGUAAUAGCUCACUAGUCAAGCGCUCUCGCGCCGAAAAUGAACGGGGCUAAGCGAUGUACCGAAGCUGUGGGAUUUGUCUAUCGAUGAAUCGGUAGGGGAGCGUUCCGUCAUAGGUAGAAGCAGUAGCGGCAAGCAGCUGUGGACGAAACGGAAGUGAGAAUGUCGGCUUGAGUAGCGCAAAUGUAUGUGAGAAUCAUACACCCCGAAACCCUAAGGGUUCCAGAGCCAGGUUCGUCCCCUCUGGGUUAGUCGGGUCCUAAGGCGAGGUCGAAAGGCGUAGUCGAUGGACACAGGGUGAAUAAUCCCUGACUAUGAUAUGGGAGCAUUGCUUGGGACGCAUGAAAGAUAGCCAUACCCUGAUUGGUUUGGGAGGAGUUUACGAACUCCGUGUGGUGAAUGAUAGUGCCAAGAAAAGCUAGUAAUGUGAUGAACAUAUUGUACCCGUACCCGAAACCGACACAGGUAGGGAGGUUGAGUAUACCAAGGGGCGCGAGAUAACUCUCUC